Long non-coding RNA from Pseudomyrmex gracilis, 932 nucleotides. RefSeq lists it as uncharacterized. NCBI's taxonomy places the organism in Eukaryota, Metazoa, Arthropoda, Insecta, Hymenoptera, Formicidae. The transcript has 3 exons. The record is from RefSeq and is a predicted model, not a curated record.
AGAUUGUAUGUACAGGUUAUGUACCGUAAUUGUCAGAGAGAGGAUGUUUUAAAGACAUUUUGUCUUGUCGCAGAAUUCCACUGAUUGUUUCGCAAAUCUUCGUUCUUCGAGAUCAGAUUCGGUGCAGUAUCACGUGGUCGAACGAUUUCUGGCUCCGAUUUGAAUCAGACGAUGUCUAAGAGCGUGUUUCGGACAAACGUAAAUUGUGAGGUAUAAUUAGAGAAUAUUGAGAUAAGAAUGGCUGAUAAAAAGUGACAAAGACGUUACAAGAUGUCGUCAAUAACGAAGACACUGAGUGCAUGGUGCAUCGUAGACGCCGAGAUUGACGGCGAUGACAAGGACUCGGAUAAGGUUAUUGUUCCGGAACUUCAGGGUACAUCCAAAUGGACAAAUUACAUACAUGGCUGGCAAAAUAGAUUUAUUGUACUCAAAGAUGGUACUUUGUGUUAUUACAAAUCCGAGCAGGACAGAAUUUGGAUUUGGAUGUCGUGGCUUGGUUAGUUUGUAACAAAGCUAAUAUCAAGGCACAUCAAUUUGAUGUAUGCAGAUUUGAUGUAUCUGUUAAUGACUGCUUAGUCUGGUAUUUAAGAGCAAGCAGUUCAGAAGAAAAGCAACAAUAGAACUUCUUAACACUCUCCGUCCUAACCCACACAGAACAGAACGUCAAUGGACAUCUAUUAGACAUCCAUGAUGGAAAUUGGAAACAUCUAUUGGACGUCGUUACCUCUUAUAGAUAUCCAUUAGAUAUCUAGAGUUCACUUUUUAAAUGUCCAUAAGAAGUCUAAUGUGAUGUGAUGUGAUGUUUCGUGGUAAUCCAUGGAUAUGCAGUAGAUAUUUUACGGAGAUUCUUGAAAUGAUUAUUGGAUGUUAGUUUUAUGAAUAAAUAAUAAAAAUUAAAGGUUUUUAUAUGUCAUACAUAUAAUUUACGUUGU